UCUAGUGUUUUGAGUCUACCGGUAGCAGUUGGCGGGUAAGGGGGGAAUUUGGGGUUCUGAUUCCCAGAUUAGGGAGCCCUGAGAGCGCGGAUAUCCACAUCUCAGCGAAGUGCAGCAGAGCGCGCAAGAUUCCUCCAAUCUCUGACUACAGGGACAGUAGUGACAAUGAAAUAACAACAUCUGGAAAUUUUAUUUGCUAGUGAUUGGAACUGAUGGGAAUUUAAACCCCUUUCAGAGUAACAAUUGGAGGGCAAGUCUGGUGCCAGCAGCCGCGGUAAUUCCAGCUCCAAUAGCGUAUAUUAAAGUUGUUGCAGUUAAAAAGCUCGUAGUUGGAUGUCUGCUGGAAGCAAUCAGUCCGCCCUAUUUGUAGGGUGUGCACUUGAUGAAUUCUGGCAUCUAUAUCCCAAUAAUAUGUGAUGGUGUAUAUAUACCCUGUAUAUAUACCCAUCUAUAUUGGGAUAAUACCGUUACUUUGAGAAAAUUAGAGUGUUUGAAGCAGGCUAAUUGCCUUGAAUACUGCAGCAUGGAAUAACAAUAUAGGAUUUCGGUUCUAUUUUGUUGGUUUCUAGGACUGAAAUAAUGAUUAAUAGGGACAGUUGGGGGUGGAUAACCUGGUAUUUCUAUGUUGUCUGGCUUGUCUGGUUACGUG
This 649-nucleotide ribosomal RNA is filed under the name Sarcocystis cruzi. Its description in RNAcentral is "bacterial SSU rRNA". It matches the Rfam family "Eukaryotic small subunit ribosomal RNA", at positions 319 to 939 of the family's 1831-position model. The record is from RNAcentral. Lineage: Eukaryota; Apicomplexa; Conoidasida; Eucoccidiorida; Sarcocystidae.